This 429-nucleotide ribosomal RNA is filed under the name Actinomycetes bacterium. Its description in RNAcentral is "Actinobacteria bacterium partial 16S ribosomal RNA". It matches the Rfam family "Bacterial small subunit ribosomal RNA", at positions 355 to 776 of the family's 1533-position model. Lineage: Bacteria; Bacillati; Actinomycetota; Actinomycetes. The record is from RNAcentral.
UAGGGAAUAUUCCGCAAUGGGCGAAAGCCUGACGGAGCAACGCCGCGUGAGUGAUGAAGGUCUUCGGAUCGUAAAACUCUGUUAUUAGGGAAGAACAAAUGUGUAAGUAACUAUGCACGUCUUGACGGUACCUAAUCAGAAAGCCACGGCUAACUACGUGCCAGCAGCCGCGGUAAUACGUAGGUGGCAAGCGUUAUCCGGAAUUAUUGGGCGUAAAGCGCGCGUAGGCGGUUUUUUAAGUCUGAUGUGAAAGCCCACGGCUCAACCGUGGAGGGUCAUUGGAAACUGGAAAACUUGAGUUCACAAGCUGAAAGUGGAAUUCCAUGUGUAGCGGUGAAAUGCGCAGAGAUAUGGAGGAACACCAGUGGCGAAGGCGACUUUCUGGUCUGUAACUGACGCUGAUGUGCUCAAGCGUGGGGAUCAAACAGG